This 433-nucleotide ribosomal RNA is filed under the name uncultured bacterium. RNAcentral's name for it is "partial 16S ribosomal RNA". It matches the Rfam family "Bacterial small subunit ribosomal RNA", at positions 29 to 507 of the family's 1533-position model. The record is from RNAcentral.
AACGAACGCUGGCGGCAUGCCUAACACAUGCAAGUCGAACGAGACCUUCGGGUCUAGUGGCGCACGGGUGCGUACCGCGUGGGAACCUGCCCUUAGGUUCGGAAUAACUCCCCGAAAGGGGUGCUAAUACCGGAUAAUCUCUUCGGACCAAAGAUUUUUCGCCUUUGGAUGGGCCCGCGUUGGAUUAGCUAGUUGGUAGGGUAAAAGCCUACCAAGGCGACGAUGCAUAGCUGGUCUGAGAGGAUGAUCAGCCGCACUGGGGAUGAGACACGGACCAGAAUCGUAGGGGAGGGAGCAGUAGGGUAUAUUGGAGGAGGGGCGAAGGUCUGAUCCAGCAGUGCCGCGUGAGUGAUGAAUGGCUUAGGGUUGUAAAGCUGUUUGAGCCGGGAUGUUAAUGACGGUACCGGGUGAAUAAGCACCGGCUAACUCCGUG